GGCCUCCUGCACUGGGAGUUUGGAGUCUUAGCCACUGGAGGACCAGCGGGGAAGUCCCAGACUACUUCUUCAAACUUUUACUCUGUACUGCCUCCCUUCUCCCCGGGAGCUCACCUUUGUGGUUGGUCCCCACUUCAGAGGACAGUGGCAGAGGCUGUAGAACAGACGGACUGGAAAUCCCUUAGAAUCCUAUAAACUUUGGAAGGGGCCCAUGCAGGGACACUGAAGUUGAUGCUGAAGAAUUUGUACAGGGCCUUUGAAGAUAAUCUCUGUUCCUGUGCCCCUGUUGAUAAUUGAGACAUCAAUUUCUGGGCCAGUGUUUUCAUAAUGGACCUCUCAGAGUGUAUAACGGGGAAAGCCUAGAUGUGGUUUUAGGUCUCUGGCCCUGGAGCUGCUGUAGCUGUAAAGCUAUUAAAUUUGCAGCUUCCUGUUUUCAGUCCUGCUCUGGGAUCCUUUCAAAAUGCUCAGCCACAGUCAUUGCUUCAGGCAGGCUUGUGGCACGCCAUCUUAUUUUGUGUUUUUUGAUAAUGGCUUGUAAAAGAUCAGUUGCUAUUCUGUGAACCCUUUCUGGCCACCAAUCCGGAAUAUCAACCUUUUGCUUCUGAAGCCAAAAACUCAUCCUCAGGGCACCAGUGCUGAUU
Bos taurus (domestic cattle) is the source of this 641-nucleotide long non-coding RNA. Lineage: Eukaryota; Metazoa; Chordata; Mammalia; Artiodactyla; Bovidae. The record is from Ensembl.